GCUGCGAGCGGAGCUGCCGGGCGGGGAAGGCUUCCCCGGGGUGCCGCCGGCAGAGACGGCGCUGGGAGGAUGCCGGCCAGCCGUGCCGAGCCGUGCCGAGCCGUGCCGAGCCGUGCCGUGCCGUGCCGUGCCGUGCCGUGCCGUGCCGUGCCGUGCCGUGCCGUGCCGCGCCCCUCCUCCGCGCUCCGUGGAGAGCGCACCGCGGAGCUCUCCCCGAGCCGAGGAGGGGCCGGGACGGAGCGCGCUGUGUAUCGCAUUAAAUGAAUCGCCUGGCUCCGGAGGAGGAGGCAGGUGAUUCUGCCCGACACAAUGAGGGGUUUUGAGCGCUGCGGAAUAAAGCGCCCUUCAUCGGCCCCGGGGGCGCCGGGGCCCGGCUCCGCCGCGGUACCGCCUGGCCCCCGGGGGAGCCCGGAGCUCCCCGGCGCCCGGAGCUGCGGCGCCCCCCGACCGCGCCCGGAGAAAGGGAGGCGGCCGAGGGGGGGGUGGGGGGGUGGGGGGGGGGCUGCAGCCGGUGCCCCCCCGGGGGCGGCCCCCUGGGAGGCAGGGGAGCGGGCGGGGAGCGGGCGGCCCGUCGGGCACGGCACGGCGCGGCACGGAGCGCGGGGCCCCCGGGCGGAGCUGCCCGGGUUGGGGCCGUGGCAGGCGUUGUUUUCCUCGGAGAGCAGAGGAGGAGGAGGAGGAGGAGGAGGAAAUCUCCGGGUUUUUAAUGAGGGGGUGCAGCGGGGCUGAGCGCUGGGAUUACACGGCGCGGAGCCGGAGCUGCGGGCUGUGUGUGUGCGCGCAGGGCUGGCCGUCCCCGCCUGUCUGCCUGCUAAUCGCACGUUUUCCGCUGUUAAAAAGAAACCGAGACGCUGUGGCCGAGCCCAGCGCUGUCUCUGUGACUGUGACAUGAAAAGAUGGCGCUCUCUCCCCUCCCCCAGCCUCCCUCUCGGCUUACACUUCCUCCCCAACAGCUUUUGCCUUCCAGUUUUUUAAAGCCCUCUUUUCUCCUUUCCUUCCCCCCCCCCACCUCCUCCGGCCGGAUACCGCGAGCUUCCCAGCCGAUCGCAACGAGAGACCGAGAGGAAACACGCUGCUGCUGUGCAAAAUGUGGACCAUGUGUGGGAACUAUUUACUCAGAGUGCAACUGCAGGCACCAGGCGAGGGGCUGGCAGAGCCGGGGGGCGGCGGAGAGAGAGGCUACAUCUCUCUCGCCUUUUUUCCUCUCCCCUAAAGCCAAACCACGUCGCUGCGUCUGUAACGGUGCGUUUUACCGACUUUCUCGCUGGGCACAUGUUUUUUUUAUAAGUCCAAGGCUUUUGCGAUUCGCUUUUGUGUUUGCCCACCUCAAGCCUCUGCGGGCAAAGGGUUAAAUCUUCGGAGCAGUGGAAGGAAGCAGCUGAGUUUCAACAACAACAAAAAAAAAAAAGGUGGGGGGAGAAGAAAGGAGCGGGAGCAGGGAAGAAGCGAGGCGAGAGGGCUGCACGGUCCCCUGAUUGUCCCUUUGGCUGCUGUAGAAUAAUAAAAAUAAUUAAUAACAAUAGUAACCCCCA
Molecule: long non-coding RNA, 1532 nt
Filed under: Anser brachyrhynchus (Pink-footed goose)
Lineage: Eukaryota; Metazoa; Chordata; Aves; Anseriformes; Anatidae
Description: lncRNA (ENSABRG00000009614.1)
Source: RNAcentral